This 548-nucleotide ribosomal RNA is filed under the name uncultured bacterium. Its description in RNAcentral is "bacterial SSU rRNA". It matches the Rfam family "Bacterial small subunit ribosomal RNA", at positions 355 to 896 of the family's 1533-position model. The record is from RNAcentral.
UGGGGAAUUUUGGACAAUGGGGGCAACCCUGAUCCAGCAAUGCCGCGUGUGUGAAGAAGGCCUUCGGGUUGUAAAGCACUUUUGUCCGGAAAGAAAUCGCGCUGGUUAAUACCUGGCGUGGAUGACGGUACCGGAAGAAUAAGCACCGGCUAACUACGUGCCAGCAGCCGCGGUAAUACGUAGGGUGCGAGCGUUAAUCGGAAUUACUGGGCGUAAAGCGUGCGCAGGCGGUUUUGUAAGACAGGCGUGAAAUCCCCGGGCUUAACCUGGGAAUUGCGCUUGUGACUGCAAGGCUAGAGUGCGUCAGAGGGGGGUAGAAUUCCACGUGUAGCAGUGAAAUGCGUAGAGAUGUGGAGGAAUACCGAUGGCGAAGGUAGCCCCCUGGGACGUGACUGACGCUCAUGCACGAAAGCGUGGGGAGCAAACAGGAUUAGAUACCCUGGUAGUCCACGCCCUAAACGAUGUCAACUAGUUGUUGGGGAUUCAUUUUCUCAGUAACGUAGCUAACGCGUGAAGUUGACCGCCUGGGGAGUACGGUCGCAAGAUUA